Molecule: ribosomal RNA, 274 nt
Filed under: uncultured bacterium
Lineage: Bacteria
Description: partial 16S ribosomal RNA
Rfam family: Bacterial small subunit ribosomal RNA
Source: RNAcentral
AUACGGAGGGUGCAAGCGUUAUCCGGAAUCACUGGGUUUAAAGGGUGCGUAGGCGGCUCAAUAAGUCAGAGGUGAAAUCUUUCUGCUUAACAGAAAAAUUGCCUUUGAAACUGUAGAGCUUGAAUCAAGUUGAGGUUGGCGGAAUGUGACAUGUAGCGGUGAAAUGCAUAGAUAUGUCAUAGAACACCAAAUGCGAAGGCAGCUAACUAGGCUUGUAUUGACGCUGAGGCACGAAAGCGUGGGGAGCAAACAGGAUUAGAAACCCGAGUAGUCC